Molecule: ribosomal RNA, 556 nt
Filed under: uncultured fungus
Lineage: Eukaryota; Fungi
Description: partial large subunit ribosomal RNA
Rfam family: Eukaryotic large subunit ribosomal RNA
Source: RNAcentral
GGAUUGCCCUAGUAACGGCGAGUGAAGCGGCAACAGCUCAAAUUUGAAAGCUAGCCUUCGGGUUCGCAUUGUAAUUUGUAGAGGAUGAUUUGGGGAAGCCGCCUGUCUAAGUUCCUUGGAACAGGACGUCAUAGAGGGUGAGAAUCCCGUAUGUGACAGGAAAUGGCACCCUAUGUAAAUCUCCUUCGACGAGUCGAGUUGUUUGGGAAUGCAGCUCUAAAUGGGAGGUAAAUUUCUUCUAAAGCUAAAUAUUGGCGAGAGACCGAUAGCGCACAAGUAGAGUGAUCGAAAGAUGAAAAGCACUUUGGAAAGAGAGUUAAAAAGCACGUGAAAUUGUUGAAAGGGAAGCGCUUGCAAUCAGACUUGUUUAAACUGUUCGGCCGGUCUUCUGACCGGUUUACUCAGUUUGGACAGGCCAGCAUCAGUUUCGGCGGCCGGAUAAAGGCUCUGGGAAUGUGGCCUCCACUUCGGUGGAGGUGUUAUAGCCCAGGGUGUAAUACGGCCAGCCGGGACUGAGGUCCGCGCUUCGGCUAGGAUGCUGGCGUAAUGGUUGUAA